RNAcentral lists this long non-coding RNA (1410 nucleotides) under Equus caballus (horse). RNAcentral describes it as "lncRNA (ENSECAG00000045871.1)". Lineage: Eukaryota; Metazoa; Chordata; Mammalia; Perissodactyla; Equidae. The record is from RNAcentral.
UUAAAAUGUACAAUAUAUUCUAUUAGGUGUUUUUUAUUAGGUAUUAGGGGACACAAAGAUGGGCUGAUAUAAACUUGGCACAUGUAGAGAACAAGAAGAAAACUAACUUGGCUGAAACAAAUGGUUACAUGUUAGGAAUAGUUCAUUUAUUCAGUAAUUCCACAAUUAUUGAGCAUCUUCUCCAGGGCACGCAUUGUUCUUCUUGCUUGGGGUAAACCAGUUGUCUUACAGAUAAAGAUUCCAACCCUAGUAUAGUUUACAUUAUAAAGUGAUUGAAGGAUAUGUUUGGAACACUAAAGCGAGUCAGGAUCCUCACAUGUGGAGAUUAGAGAUCUGGAUUUGAUUUGAAAGGUUCUGGAGAAUCAAUGCAUUUUCCCCGGGGGAAUGACAAGAUGAAGGUGAUGUUUUGUAAAGAUUAGUCUAGAGUUGUAUCCAGGAUGGAUUACAGUGGGAAGAGGCUGGAGGUUAAGGAUAUCAAUAAGGUUAUUAUAAGGAUGUGGACAAGAGAGAGUGAGGAACAGCCAAACUGCCCCAAAAUGAUGACCCGGAUUUGUGGUGCAGUAAGAUUAAGUGGUCCCAGAUUUGUGGUGCAAUAAAUGAGAACAAGAUUUGAGCGCCCCAAAGUCAUCUGUCAUUUAGCUUGUCAUCAGCAUUUGCUAUUCCUUCAGCAACAUUUGAGGAACUGCUCUGUAGCCAUUCUGUUAGCUUCCAGGAAAAUAAAGGCAAAUGAGAGGUAGGCUUUUCCCUCAGAAAGCUCAGAGGUUUAGUAGAGAAGAUUGACAUUCAAAAAUAAUUGUGCUGUCAUGUGAUAGGUGCUGUAACAGAGAAAUGUCCAAGGUACAGUGAGAGUUUAAACAAGGAGUAGUAAAUCGAUAAAUUCUGGUGGUGGUGAUGGUGGUGGGUGUCCAGAUGAAGAGAAGUCAGGUUUGAACUGGCUCGUGAAGGAUAGAUUAGAGACUGACUGGCAAGUACUAGGAGGAAGGUCUUUCUGGGAAGAGUGCACAGAUAGGAGAGACUGAAACUUCAGGGAAAAAUAAAUUUUUUUUUUGCUAGUAGAGAUAACAACUGCAGGGAUUUGCUAUCUUUAGAUACUAAUUCAUUGAGUUCCACAGGCUGGUUUGGCACAGGUUACUCUUCCCAAGGCACUGAAUAAAACAAUCCCAGGAUGAAAGAGUUUUAAUAACCAAUGGUUAAUACAAUUUUAUGAUGCUCUCUCAGAAUUCUGAGCAAGAUUAAAACUUCUUAAUUGCAUUUCUUUUUUCUUCUGUGUUAAAAAUGUUUUAAAAGGAAAAGAAUAAAAAGUACUGUGUCAUCUAUGUAUCCACCAGCCAAAAUGAAUAAAUAGAAUCAUACCUAUUUUCUCCCAAGUCCCGUUUCCUUUUCUUUCUUUAGGUAUCCCCUUUAUUAUCA